This 336-nucleotide ribosomal RNA is filed under the name uncultured bacterium. RNAcentral describes it as "bacterial SSU rRNA". It matches the Rfam family "Bacterial small subunit ribosomal RNA", at positions 335 to 656 of the family's 1533-position model. The record is from RNAcentral.
ACUCCUACGGGAGGCAGCAGUGGGGAAUAUUGCACAAUGGGCGCAAGCCUGAUGCAGCCAUGCCGCGUGUAUGAAGAAGGCCUUCGGGUUGUAAAGUACUUUCAGCAGUGAGGAAGGUGAGUCGUUAAUUAGCGGCCUCAUUUGAUCGUUUAGCUUGCAGAAGAAGACACCGGCGUAACUCCGUGCCAGCAGCCGCGGUAAUACGGAGGGUGCGAGCGUUAAUCGGAAUUACUGGGCGUAAAGCGCAUGCAGGUGGUUUGUUAAGUCAGAUGUGAAAGCCCGGGGCUCAACCUCGGAAUAUGACAUUUGAAACUGGCAGACUAGAGUACUGGGUAG